RNAcentral lists this long non-coding RNA (2899 nucleotides) under Salvia miltiorrhiza (redroot sage). Its description in RNAcentral is "long non-coding RNA (SMIL_LNC005126)". The record is from RNAcentral. Lineage: Eukaryota; Viridiplantae; Streptophyta; Magnoliopsida; Lamiales; Lamiaceae.
UAUAACGACGGAAUAAGCAACAGACUAAUAUUGGAUUUUUUUUUGUUUUUUUUUUGUAUGUACGCUCUUGCACCUUAAAUGACUCAAACUCUCUCAAUCUAUUUGUGGGAGGUAAAGCACUUUACCAUUUAGAUGAUUCAAAUCCUCGAUUUAUUACUUGGUGGAAAAACGUCUUACCACUUGAGUUACGCUUCAUCAUUACUAAGCAUUAUAAUUAAAGACAAAUUCCUUAAUUACAUGAUAAUACAAGCAGGGGCAACUGCAACUGCUCCAACAGCUGUUACUACGGUACCUCCAAGAAGAAACCCUGCGUUGAGUGCCUCCAAAGUUUCCAGAAUCCUUUCCUGAAUAAUAACAAACUUUUAAUUUGUAUAAUCAAAAUUAGUCCAUUCUUAAUUAAACUAAGUAAUUUUUAUUUUAUUUUUUUAGUUAGAGAAGAGGAACAGAACUGGAGUUUGAACCUUGAACGUCACUGUUAACACAGAAGGUCAUCACCGUUUGGGUGUCGNUCGAACGAGCGAGGAAGGUCGUCGAUAGAUUCAAAGAGGAUUCCGAUUUCAAAUUUUUCCACGAAAGCGUCUCCGAUCUCUUCGCUCAGCGAUUGAGAUCUGACAUGGAGAUGCUGAAAUCGGAGAAUUUGAACAAAAUCAGCCUCGCCGCAAAGUGGUGCCCGUCGCUCGACUCCUCCUUCGAUAGAAUUACCUUACUGUGCGAGACGAUCGGGAAGAAGGUGUUUCCGAGGGAGGAAUACACCGAAUACGACGGCGUUUUGGAGGCGCAUUACGCUUAUCGAGUGAGGGAUCGGCUGAGGAAGGAAGUCCUCGUGCCGCUGCGGAAGGCGCUGGAACUGCCGGAGAUUUACAUGGGCGCUCAAAAUUGGGGAUCGCUGCCGUACAACAGAGUCGCCUCCGUCGCGAUGAAAAACUACAAGGAUCAAUUCUUCAAGCACGACGAGGAGAGAUUUAAACAGUAUUUAGAGAAAGUUAAAUCCGGCAAGGCGAAGAUCGCCGCCGGCGCGCUGCUGCCGCACCAGAUCAUCGAGGCGCUGGAUGACGACGACGGCCGCGGCGUGGGGGAGGAGGUGGCGGAGCUGCAGUGGAAGAGGAUAGUGGACGAUAUGGCGAAGAUCGGGAAGCUCAGUAACUGCCUCGCGAUCUGCGAUGUUUCUGGAAGCAUGGAGGGAACUCCGAUGGAUGUCGCGGUGGCGCUAGGGCUUCUAGUGUCGGAAUUGAGCGAGGAUCCAUGGAAAGGGAAGCUGAUCACGUUCAGUGAGCAACCUGAGAUGCAAAUUGUGAAAGGCACAUCGUUGAAAAGGAAAAUUGAAUUCGUGAAAGAGAUGGAUUGGGGAUGCAACACCGAUUUCCAGAAGGUGUUUGAUGUGCUGCUGAAGGUGGCGGUGGAGGGGAAUUUGAAGAAGGAGGAGAUGAUAAAGCGGCUGUUCGUGUUCAGCGAUAUGGAGUUCGACGUGGCGUCGGAGAAUCCGUGGGAGACGGAUUACGAGGCGAUCGUGAGGAAGUUUGGGGAGAAUGGAUUCGGAGAGUGCGUGCCGGAGAUUGUGUUUUGGAAUCUGAGGGAUUCGAAGGCGACGCCGGUGGCGGCGGGGCAGCCCGGGGUGGCGCUGGUGAGCGGAUUCUCGAAGAAUAUGAUGAAGAUGUUUCUGGAAGAGGGAGGAGUUGUGAAUCCGGUGGCGGUGAUGGAGGCGGCGAUAGCCGGAGAGGAAUAUCAGAAGCUGGUUGUGCUUGAUUGAUUGCCAUGUGUUUGAUAAAAGUGAUUGAUUGUUUAGCUGAGUCUUUUAUUUUGCUAUUUUGUUAUGCUUUAGAUGUUAUGUUAGGUUGGUUUCAAAUUUUCAAUUACUCUCGUACUCUUUUCAAUGAAAAACUAAAUAUAUAUUUCUAAGGUUUAAUUGGGAAUUCUUGAAGUUUAAGAUUUUUUUAGUGUGGUUUAUAUCAUAAUUUGCAAGCUAUUGCAUAGAAAAUUUUAUAGACGGACUAAAAUAACAUAUGAAUGACGAAUUUGACAUUAAUUUCAAAUAUAACGACGGAAUAAGCAACUAACUACAUAUGAACGACGAAUUUGACAUUCCAAAUAUCUUCAAUCUAUUUACCGACGAGAUGGAUUACACAUUCAAUCUCUUAGACUUUAACAAGCCCUACUCUGAGAUAAAUUUGAGAACCAAAACCCGAAUUUGACAUUCCAAAUAUCUUCAAUCUAUUUACCGACGAGCUCAAGGAAUUGAGAUGGAUGUACUAUGAGAUAAAUUUGAGAACCAAAACCAAAAUCGUAAUUUAAUUCACUCAAUUGAGUCCUCCUAUCAGUUCGACACAUUCUUGAACAUCAUCUUAUUUCGAUGAUUCCAUAAGUUACAAACAACACAAGUCCAUAUUAUUGCUUUCCACUAGUAUAUAUAAGAACGACAAAUUUGACAUUUAAUAUAACAACGGAAUAAGCAACUGACUAGCGGAUGAACGACGAAUUAAUUUGGCAUUCCAAAUAUAACAACCGAAUAAGCAACUGACUAGUUACAUAUGAACAACGGAUUAAGCCACGGACUAAUAUUAUUCAAAUCCUCGAUCUAUUAGUUGGAGGAAAAACGUCUUACCACUUGAGUUGCGCUUCAUCGUUACUAAGCAUUAUAAUUAAAGACAAAUUCCUUAACUACAUGAUAAUACAAGCAGGGGCAACUGCAACUGCUCCAACAAGUGUUACUACGGUACCUCCCAGAACAAUCCCUGCGUUGAGUGCAUCCAAAGUUUCCAGAAUCCUUUCCUGAAUAAUAACAAAUUUUUAAUUUGAAUAAUCAAAAUUCGUCCAUUGUUAAUUAAAAUAAGUAAUUUUUUUUCCUUUUUUUAGUUAGAGAAGAGAAACACUGGAGUUUGAACCUUGAACGUCACUGUUNNNN